RNAcentral lists this ribosomal RNA (540 nucleotides) under uncultured bacterium. RNAcentral describes it as "bacterial SSU rRNA". It matches the Rfam family "Bacterial small subunit ribosomal RNA", at positions 355 to 896 of the family's 1533-position model. The record is from RNAcentral.
UGAGGAAUAUUGGUCAAUGGGCGAGAGCCUGAACCAGCCAAGUAGCGUGCAGGAUGACGGCCCUAUGGGUUGUAAACUGCUUUUAUACGAGAAUAAUUUGAUGCACGUGUGCGUUAUUGCAUGUAUCGUAUGAAUAAGGACCGGCUAAUUCCGUGCCAGCAGCCGCGGUAAUACGGAAGGUCCAGGCGUUAUCCGGAUUUAUUGGGUUUAAAGGGAGUGUAGGCGGUUUGUUAAGCGUGUUGUGAAAUUUAGAUGCUCAACAUUUAACUUGCAGCGCGAACUGUCAGACUUGAGUACACGCAACGUAUGCGGAAUUCAUGGUGUAGCGGUGAAAUGCUUAGAUAUCAUGAAGAACUCCGAUUGCGAAGGCAGCAUACGGGAGUGUAACUGACGCUUAAGCUCGAAGGUGCGGGUAUCGAACAGGAUUAGAUACCCUGGUAGUCCGCACAGUAAACGAUGGAUGCCCGCUGUUAGCGCCUGGCGUUAGCGGCUAAGCGAAAGCAUUAAGCAUCCCACCUGGGGAGUACGCCGGCAACGGUG